Molecule: RNA transcript, 1559 nt
Organism: Asparagus officinalis (garden asparagus)
Lineage: Eukaryota; Viridiplantae; Streptophyta; Magnoliopsida; Asparagales; Asparagaceae
Exons: 6
Source: RefSeq, a predicted model, not a curated record
CUCUAACGCAACAGUUCUAGUGCAACGUUUAUGACCGUUGCGUUAGGUAUCUAUGGGGGCGGUUUUACAACGCUUUGACAACGGUUUACAAAAACCGCUUCGCUAGGCCCAAUAAUUUUGAUUUGGGCCGAUUUUAUAGGCUGGUUUGGGCUUAACACUGAAACGAAAUCUCUUUUUUUUUCUCACUGCUUUACCAAAUAUCCCUCUUUCUCUCUCACUCAACUCAUCACCCCUUUCUAAAAUCUCCCUCUUCGUUCGCUCUGAGAGAUCGCCAUGGCCGAAAUUCGUCGAUCUCAUCGCUUAACUCGUCGCUAAUCUCUUCGCCGUUUUUCGAUCUCAUCGUCUCCGAUCUCAACUCUGAUUUCGUCGUCGAUCUCGUAACUAAUCUCUUCGUCGAGCUGCUGGUCUCGUCUCCGAUCUCAUCUCCGAUAUAGGUCGUCGAGCUCGCAGCUAAUCCGUCUCCGAUCUCACUCUCCUUUGGACUCUCAGCUAAUCCGUCUCCGAUCUCAUCUCCGACCAUUUCUCGCAGGCACAAGACGAGAUUACAUAUUGGACAGCUAGUGAAAGAUACAUCAGCAAAGCUUAAACAAGGUAGUGAAAACGAUCACCGUGUUGAAGUUAGCUGAGCAAGAAAAAUAAGAAAGAGAGCUACCAAGAAGAGUUAGAAGAGCGUUUAAUCUCGUUGAUUACAUCAUUAUUUGACCAUAUAAUAAAUGGCGGAAAACAGAGAUUGGAUGUAUAAUGCUCCUAGAGUGAGUGUGGAGUUCAUUAAUAAUGUCAAUGACUUUCUUGAGAGAGCAUUUGCUAAUGGAGCAGAAGGGGAUGAAAUAUGUUGUCAUUGUCGCAUUUGUUGUAAUCGUUUUUGGUAUAGUCGUGAUGUUGUUUAUGAUCACCUUAUUGUCAAAGGAUUUGUAGAGAAUUAUUAUGAUUGGUUCUUUCACGGAGAGGGUGUGUCAUCAAGGAUGGAUGUUGAUGACAAUAAUGAAGAAGCUGAUGAUGUUGCUGAUGAUGCUCAAGACAAUCUGGAUGGGUUAUUGCAUGAUGUAUUUAGAGAUGUAGCAGAAGAGUCUCCAGUGAACCAAGAAGAUGGCCUAAGUGACGAUGAAGAAAGGUUAACAAAGGAGGCAAAGAAAUUUUAUAAGUUAGUUGAUGAAGGAAUUGUCAUUUGAAUGAAAAGCAAAAGGGCUUGUUUGAUGGAGACCCUUAGCAAUCUGUAGCCACCUAUUUUACUCAAAUGGAAGGUUUUGAUGCAGGUACAGAAAUGAUGAAAGCCAAGAUUGAGAUUGAUACUGACAGGUUCCUAGUGAGUAUUUGACAUUGAGGAACAAGUUUUUGGAAACAAAUAGAGAAUAUAGUCUUUGACCAAGAAGUUUCAUGUUUUGUAAUCAAAUGUUGAUGUACAUUGUUUGAAUGUUAGUUCGGUACGAUAUUUUCUGAGUUGAAAUGUUGGUAGUGUGGAUUUAAUACUUUGUAGUUUUUAUACUAUACUGAUGUAUGUUGGCACUUAUCAUUAUGGUUGAUUAUGCUCAACAUAAUCACUUUUAUAUUGUGUAUUAAAA